Molecule: ribosomal RNA, 497 nt
Filed under: uncultured bacterium
Lineage: Bacteria
Description: partial 16S ribosomal RNA
Rfam family: Bacterial small subunit ribosomal RNA
Source: RNAcentral
GAUGAACGCUGGCGGCGUGCCUAAUAUAUGCAAGUCGAGCGAACAGAUGAGGAGCUUGCUCCUCUGACGUUAGCGGCGGACGGGUGAGUAACACGUGGAUAACCUACCUAUAAGACUGGGAUAACUUCGGGAAACCGGAGCUAAUACCGGAUAAUAUAUUGAACCGCAUGGUUCAAUAGUGAAAGACGGUUUUGCUGUCACUUAUAGAUGGAUCCGCGCCGCAUUAGCUAGUUGGUAAGGUAACGGCUUACCAAGGCAACGCUGCGUAGCCGACCUUAGAGGGUGAUCCGCCACACUGGAACUGAGACACGGUCCAAACUCCUAAGGGAGGCAGCAGUAGGGAAUCUUCCGCAAUGGGCGAAAGCCUGACGGAGCAACGCCGCGUGAGUGAUGAAGGUCUUCGGAUCGUAAAACUCUGUUUUUAGGGAAGAACAAAUGUGUAAGUAACUAUGCACGUCUUGACGGUACCUAAUCAGAAAGCCACGGCUAACUACGUG